Molecule: ribosomal RNA, 372 nt
Filed under: uncultured bacterium
Lineage: Bacteria
Description: bacterial SSU rRNA
Rfam family: Bacterial small subunit ribosomal RNA
Source: RNAcentral
ACGUAGGGUGCGAGCGUUAAUCGGAAUUACUGGGCGUAAAGCGUGCGCAGGCGGUUUGUUAAGUCAGAUGUGAAAGCCCCGGGCUUAACCUGGGAACUGCGUUUGAAACUGGCAAGCUAGAGUCUGUCAGAGGGGGGUAGAAUUCCACGUGUAGCAGUGAAAUGCGUAGAGAUGUGGAGGAAUACCGAUGGCGAAGGCAGCCCCCUGGGAUAAGACUGACGCUCAUGCACGAAAGCGUGGGGAGCAAACAGGAUUAGAUACCCUGGUAGUCCACGCCCUAAACGAUGUCGACUGGUUGUUGGGCAACUUGAUUGUUCAGUAACGAAGCUAACGCGAGAAGUCGACCGCCUGGGGAGUACGGUCGCAAGAUUA